GCUGACGAGUGGCGGACGGGUGAGUAAUGUCUGGGAAACUGCCUGAUGGAGGGGGAUAACUACUGGAAACGGUGGCUAAUACCGCAUAACGUCGCAAGACCAAAGAGGGGGACCUUCGGGCCUCUUGCCAUCAGAUGUGCCCAGAUGGGAUUAGCUUGUUGGUGAGGUAACGGCUCACCAAGGCGACGAUCCCUAGCUGGUCUGAGAGGAUGACCAGCCACACUGGAACUGAGACACGGUCCAGACUCCUACGGGAGGCAGCAGUGGGGAAUAUUGCACAAUGGGCGCAAGCCUGAUGCAGCCAUGCCGCGUGUAUGAAGAAGGCCUUCGGGUUGUAAAGUACUUUCAGCGGGGAGGAAGGUGUUGUGGUUAAUAACCGCAGCAAUUGACGUUACCCGCAGAAGAAGCACCGGCUAACUCCGUGCCAGCAGCCGCGGUAAUACGGAGGGUGCAAGCGUUAAUCGGAAUUACUGGGCGUAAAGCGCACGCAGGCGGUCUGUCAAGUCGGAUGUGAAAUCCCCGGGCUCAACCUGGGAACUGCAUUCGAAACUGGCAGGCUUGAGUCUUGUAGAGGGGGGUAGAAUUCCAGGUGUAGCGGUGAAAUGCGUAGAGAUCUGGAGGAAUACCGGUGGCGAAGGCGGCCCCCUGGACAAAGACUGACGCUCAGGUGCGAAAGCGUGGGGAGCAAACAGGAUUAGAUACCCUGGUAGUCCACGCCGUAAACGAUGUCUACUUGGAGGUUGUGCCCUUGAGGCGUGGCUUCCGGAGCUAACGCGUUAAGUAGACCGCCUGGGGAGUACGGCCGCAAGGUUAAAACUCAAAUGAAUUGACGGGGGCCCGCACAAGCGGUGGAGCAUGUGGUUUAAUUCGAUGCAACGCGAAGAACCUUACCUGGUCUUGACAUCCACAGAACUUUCCAGAGAUGGAUUGGUGCCUUCGGGAACUGUGAGACAGGUGCUGCAUGGCUGUCGUCAGCUCGUGUUGUGAAAUGUUGGGUUAAGUCCCGCAACGAGCGCAACCCUUAUCCUUUGUUGCCAGCGGUCCGGCCGGGAACUCAAAGGAGACUGCCAGUGAUAAACUGGAGGAAGGUGGGGAUGACGUCAAGUCAUCAUGGCCCUUACGACCAGGGCUACACACGUGCUACAAUGGCGCAUACAAAGAGAAGCGACCUCGCGAGAGCAAGCGGACCUCAUAAAGUGCGUCGUAGUCCGGAUUGGAGUCUGCAACUCGACUCCAUGAAGUCGGAAUCGCUAGUAAUCGUGGAUCAGAAUGCCACGGUGAAUACGUUCCCGGGCCUUGUACACACCGCCCGUCACACCAUGGGAGUGGGUUGCAAAAGAAGUAGGUAGCUUAACCUUCGGGAGGGCGCUUACCACUUUGUGAUUCAUGACUGGGGUGAAGUCGUAACAAGGUAACCGUAGGGGAACCUGCGGUUGGAUCACCUCCUUACCU
This 1452-nucleotide ribosomal RNA is filed under the name Salmonella enterica subsp. enterica serovar Kentucky. RNAcentral's name for it is "bacterial SSU rRNA". It matches the Rfam family "Bacterial small subunit ribosomal RNA". Lineage: Bacteria; Pseudomonadati; Pseudomonadota; Gammaproteobacteria; Enterobacterales; Enterobacteriaceae. RNAcentral also lists the same sequence under 1 other name. The record is from RNAcentral.